GCAUCGAUGAAGAACGCAGCGAAAUGCGAUAAGUAAUGUGAAUUGCAGAAUUCAGUGAAUCAUCGAAUCUUUGAACGCACCUUGCGCUCCUUGGUAUUCCGAGGAGCAUGCCUGUUUGAGUGUCAUGAAAACCCUCAACCUUAGAUUGGUUAUUUGACCUUUCUUUGGCUUGGAUUUGGACGUUUGCCGAUGAUAAGUCGGCUCGUCUUAAAAGUAAUAGCCGGAUCUGUCUCGCGACAUGGUUUGACUUGGCGUAAUAAGUAUUUCGCUAAGGACAUCUUCGGAUGGCCCUGUUGCAGACUAAAGACCGCUUUCUAAUCCAUUAAUCUUCGGAUUGAUAUUUCAUAACAUCUGGCCUCAAAUCAGGUAGGACUACCCGCUGAACUUAAGCAUAUCAAUAAGCGGAGGA
RNAcentral lists this ribosomal RNA (409 nucleotides) under uncultured fungus. Its description in RNAcentral is "eukaryotic LSU rRNA". The stretch from base 1 to 125 matches the Rfam family "5.8S ribosomal RNA", at positions 30 to 154 of the family's 154-position model. The record is from RNAcentral. Lineage: Eukaryota; Fungi.